This 245-nucleotide ribosomal RNA is filed under the name uncultured Peptostreptococcus sp. Its description in RNAcentral is "partial 16S ribosomal RNA". It matches the Rfam family "Bacterial small subunit ribosomal RNA", at positions 111 to 356 of the family's 1533-position model. Lineage: Bacteria; Bacillati; Bacillota; Clostridia; Peptostreptococcales; Peptostreptococcaceae. The record is from RNAcentral.
UAACGCGUGGGUAACCUGCCCUAUACACAUGGAUAACAUACUGAAAAGUUUACUAAUACAUGAUAAUAUAUAUUUACGGCAUCGUAGAUAUAUCAAAGUGUUAGCGGUAUAGGAUGGACCCGCGUCUGAUUAGCUAGUUGGUGAGAUAACUGCCCACCAAGGCGACGAUCAGUAGCCGACCUGAGAGGGUGAUCGGCCACAUUGGAACUGAGACACGGUCCAAACUCCUACGGGAGGCAGCAGUG